Molecule: ribosomal RNA, 433 nt
Filed under: uncultured bacterium
Lineage: Bacteria
Description: partial 16S ribosomal RNA
Rfam family: Bacterial small subunit ribosomal RNA
Source: RNAcentral
AAUGAACGCUGGCGGUAUGCCUAACACAUGCAAGUCGAACGAGACCUUCGGGUCUAGUUGCGCACGGGUGCGUAACGCGUCGGAACCUGCCCUUAGGUUCGGAAUAACUCACCUAAAGGGGUGCUAAUACAGGAUAAUUUCUUCGGACCAAAGAUUUAUCACCUUUGGAUGGGCCCGCGUUGGUUUAGAUGGUUGGGAGUGUAAAAGCCUACCAAGGCGACGAUCCAUAGCUGGUCUGGGAGGAUGAUCAGCCACACUGGGACUGGGACACGGCCCAGACUCUUAGAGCAGGCGGCAGUGGGGAAUCUUGGAAAAGGGGCGAAGGCCUGAUCCAGCAAUGCCGCGUGAGUGAUGAAGGCCUUAGGGUUGUAAAGCUCUUUUACCCGGGAUGAUAAUGACAGUACCGGAAGAAUAAGCCCCGGCUAACUUCGUG